RNAcentral lists this ribosomal RNA (662 nucleotides) under uncultured bacterium. RNAcentral describes it as "bacterial SSU rRNA". It matches the Rfam family "Bacterial small subunit ribosomal RNA", at positions 67 to 731 of the family's 1533-position model. The record is from RNAcentral.
CUGUUUUGAAAGAUUUCUUCGGAAUGAAUUUGAUUUAGUUUAGUGGCGGACGGGUGAGUAACGCGUGAGUAACCUGCCUUCAAGAGGGGGAUAACAUUCUGAAAAGAAUGCUAAUACCGCAUGACAUAUCGGAACCACAUGGUUUUGAUAUCAAAGAUUUUAUCGCUUGAAGAUGGACUCGCGUCCGAUUAGUUAGUUGGUGAGGUAACGGCUCACCAAGACCGCGAUCGGUAGCCGGACUGAGAGGUUGAACGGCCACAUUGGGACUGAGACACGGCCCAGACUCCUACGGGAGGCAGCAGUGGGGGAUAUUGCGCAAUGGGGGCAACCCUGACGCAGCAACGCCGCGUGAAGGAUGAAGGUUUUCGGAUUGUAAACUUCUUUUAUUAAGGACGAAACUUGACGGUACUUAAUGAAUAAGCUCCGGCUAACUACGUGCCAGCAGCCGCGGUAAUACGUAGGGAGCAAGCGUUGUCCGGAUUUACUGGGUGUAAAGGGUGCGUAGGCGGCUUUGCAAGUCAGAUGUGAAAUCUAUGGGCUCAACCCAUAAACUGCAUUUGAAACUGUAGAGCUUGAGUGAAGUAGAGGCAGGCGGAAUUCCCCGUGUAGCGGUGAAAUGCGUAGAGAUGGGGAGGAACACCAGUGGCGAAGGCGGCCUGCUA